Molecule: ribosomal RNA, 443 nt
Filed under: Gnaphosa lucifuga
Lineage: Eukaryota; Metazoa; Arthropoda; Arachnida; Araneae; Gnaphosidae
Description: partial 16S ribosomal RNA
Source: RNAcentral
UGUUAUUAGUAAUUAUUAAUAAUAAGGUCUGCUCAAUGAAAUUAAAUAGCCGCAAAUAAAUUUUGUGCUAAGGUAGCAUAAUCAUUCGUUUUUUAAUUGAAAACUAGAACAAACGAUCUAACAUUUUAAAUUAAUUUCUAAGUUUUAACUUUUUAACUUAUCUUUAAUGUAAAAAGACAUUAAUUUUUAAGAAAGACGAUAAGACCCUAUUGAACUUCACUGUAGUUUUACUGGGGCAGUAAAAUAAUUUAUAUUUUAUUUAAUGUAAUCUUAAAAUUAACCUAAUAAAAUUAAAAUUUAAUCAAGUUACCAUAGGGAUAACAGCGUAAUUUUUAUUUAUAGUUCAUAUUUAAGUAAUAGAUUGCGACCUCGAUGUUGAAUAAUUUCCUAAAUUUAAGCAAUAUUAAUAACAAGGAAGUCUGUUCGACUUUUAAAAAAUUACA